This 450-nucleotide ribosomal RNA is filed under the name uncultured bacterium. Its description in RNAcentral is "bacterial SSU rRNA". It matches the Rfam family "Bacterial small subunit ribosomal RNA", at positions 354 to 796 of the family's 1533-position model. The record is from RNAcentral.
GUGGGGAAUUUUGGACAAUGGGCGAAAGCCUGAUCCAGCCAUGCCGCGUGCAGGAUGAAGGCCUUCGGGUUGUAAACUGCUUUUGUACGGAACGAAAAGACUCCUUCUAAUAAAGGGGGUCCAUGACGGUACCGUAAGAAUAAGCACCGGCUAACUACGUGCCAGCAGCCGCGGUAAUACGUAGGGUGCAAGCGUUAAUCGGAAUUACUGGGCGUAAAGCGUGCGCAGGCGGUUAUAUAAGACAGAUGUGAAAUCCCCGGGCUCAACCUGGGAACUGCGUUUGUGACUGUAUAGCUAGAGUACGGUAGAGGGGGAUGGAAUUCCGCGUGUAGCAGUGAAAUGCGUAGAUAUGCGGAGGAACACCGAUGGCGAAGGCAAUCCCCUGGACCUGUACUGACGCUCAUGCACGAAAGCGUGGGGAGCAAACAGGAUUAGAUACCCGAGUAGUCC